CAGUCAUCCCACCCCCUGCCAACCCUCAAGCAGAGCAGAAAUGGGAAUCACAUACUCCUGAAGGAAAUGAGCAGGUUUGCACAGAAACUGCUGGCCU
RNAcentral lists this long non-coding RNA (97 nucleotides) under Capra hircus (goat). RNAcentral describes it as "lncRNA (ENSCHIG00010019314.1)". The record is from RNAcentral. Lineage: Eukaryota; Metazoa; Chordata; Mammalia; Artiodactyla; Bovidae.